AUUAAAAACCCUAAAAAGUAAAGAAAAUCAAAGAUUGAAGAGAAAGAAGCCAAGAGCAAGAGGCAAGUGCGAUUGCCCAUGGUCGAGCAUGAUUAACCUACAUGCCAAACAAAUUUAAAUAUUAAUCGUGCUCUUUUUUUUGUGAUUAAAGAAAUUAUAAAUAUUUUUGUGAGAGAGAGAGUGCGUGAGAGAAGAUAAAAACCAUGGAUAGAAGGAUAUGAGUAGGAGAUUUAAUAAAUCCUUUCAGGGAGUAGGGUGUUGAUAGAAUCGUAUAGCUAUGGCAAUAAUACCUAAGUGGGGGUGAAUUGGGUUGUUUAAAAUUUUGAUAUAAAACUUGAAAGUUUUCUAACUUAAGAAGGAUAAAAAUUUUGAUGCAAGUUAAAGAUGAUUUAAGGAUUGCAAAUCACAAUUUAUGAAAUGAAAAAUAAACACAAUUAAGUGACACAAGCGAUAUAUAGUGGUUCGGCUUAAAUAAGCCUAAUUCACUAUUUUAGUUCAUCACUAAGGAUUUUCAAACAAAUUAUUAUAACCAUUCUAUCACACCAAAUAGACCAUUUAGCACCAAGCUAGGAAAUUACAAUUCUCUUGCUUAAGCAAGCAAACCCUCUAGCAAAGCUAGGUAAAAAAUAACCUCCUACUUAAACACAAGUAGGUCCUCUAAUUAUGUGAGCUAAGAACACAAUUUGAAAUACAAUAGAGAGAUGUUUUAGAGUAUGCACUCUUAGUUAUAUAAUCAAGAUCAAAUGCAAGGCUAGAAAUAUAAUUCUUUACAAUUAAACAUAACCCUUGAAAUAAGGAGAUUUAAAACACAAAAGAAGCACAAUAAUUGAUGAGCACCUGGGAGCUUGUAGAUUGAUCACUUGGGUAACUUGAAUUCUUCCUUUGACUUGUAUCUAUAGAGCCUUGAGAGCCCAUACACAAAUCAUGCCAUUGCAAGUGGAGAGACCACUUUAGAAGAGUGGAGAAACUAGUUGUUACAAACUAUUUGCGAUAAAAAUUGUCGACAGUUUCUUUAAGCUUGUUGACAAGUUAAUUAUAAAAUUAAACAACUGUCGACAAUUUGAGCAAGGCUAUCGACAAGUUCGAAAAACUGUCAACAUCACUGAUGCAGAGGAUGUCGACAUUUAAAAAUCGAGGGCAUGCAUUUUACCUGUCGACAGUUUGAUAUAGGUUGUCAACAGUUUGGGUUUAAAAACAUAGAAAUGGUCGACAAUUUAGAUUUAAUCUGUUGAUUUCUUUACCCAAACAAAAGAUAUUGUUGACAUAUUCUUUGGAACUGUCGACAUUAUGCUUUUAGGAUUCAAAAGAACUUUUGGAUUUAUGACUCAUUUUUCUCCAUUCUUUGAAAUCUGAUUUUGAAAACUCAUUUGAGGAAAACAUAUAAUUUCUAUUCUUUAAUGAGCUUCAAAUAACCCACAUUAAGGAAAUUUUGUUUUAGAUAUUAUUUUAAUUUUUUAAAGAUGAAAAAUAAUUUUUAGUUGAAACCAAAAGCAUAUAUUAACUUAUGCCAUAUGAACCAUUUUGUUGUUCAUCAUCAAAAUCGAAAACAAAGAAGCAAAAUAUCAGGUGUCUGAUUGGUUCCUGAGAAAGUGAGUAGAGGUAACGUGCCACAACUAACCAUCACAACUUCUAGGUGUUAAAUCUUUGCCCAUGAUCAAGCACGAUUAACCUGUUGUCGUUGUUGCCACCACUGUUGCCUCUAUAAGCCUCCAUCUGAGGUUGAACCAUCGCCAGCUGCUACCUUAUGUUGGCAUUUUUUACCAUUGCACAUUGCCCAUAACGUCUUUGCCUAUAGUCACUGCACACACCUUUGUUGUGUUGUCGUCACUCGCUGCCACCUCCCACCCUUAUCCCCGCUUUGGACACCCCCUGUUGUCACAUGUCGCCGCCUCUCUGAAGCACUGUUCACUGUUGCCGCUCGUGCGUUGCAUACCUUCCUCCGUUUCUGUUAUCACUCAUUGUCGCUUGCUGCUAGAAAGCACAUAUCGAGCUAGAGUUGGGCUCAUCAAACUUUUGACGAGUCAACUCAAGCUUGGUUCACAUGAAUCUAGUUGGAGCUUGUCAAGCUAAGCCUAACCUCAGCGAGGCUCGACUUGACUCAACUCAAUGUGAUUGUAACCCUAAAGUCAAGCAGCAACCUAAGCAAUAGUAGCAAGUAGCAAUAGUAGCCAAGGGUAAGGGAAUCAAUCAGUUUUUAGUCUCGAACCAGAUUAAGAAUAGGUCAAUGCAUUUUGAUGGACUAAGGACCGAAUUGCAUGGGGCUAGUUUGGAGCAAAAUUUGAACACCCGUACUUGAAAGUCCUACUAAGUAGAAUUCUUAAUUUUUAAUGGAGCUAGAAUUAAUAGUCACUUGCCAAAUCAAGAAAAAAAUUUAUAAGUAAGAAUAAAUCCCUCAUACUUAGGUGAAAAUCCCCUCACUUAAGUGAGUAAAUACACCAAUAAAAAACACAACUUAUAGAGCUUUGAUUACAAGAGGUUAAAUGAAAAAUCCCUUCAAUCAAUCCUCCAACUUAGAUAACACAUUUUCUUUGACUUGAAAAAUGCAAUACUCUUGCAAGUGUUUCAAGAUUUUUGUGUAUUUUGAGGCUCUAUAAAUCACUUUAUUUAUGUAAUUCAAAAACUAAUUGCUAGAGAGAAUGGAGAGAGAAAGAGAGACAACAUCUUAGAGCUUCUUUAACAAGGAUGUUGAGAAAUUUGUGUUUUGAUUUUAUGAAAAAAUAAUUUUUGAUAAAUUUAAAUAAGAAAAUAUAUUUUCAGUAAAUUUGGUUCAUUGAUGAUAUCUAAAAUAUUUUGAAGUACUCUUAACUUUGAUGAAUUUAUAAACAAGUAUGUUUUCAAAUUAGUCAAGUAUAUGUUAAAAAUAAUUGAUUAUUUCAUAAAGCAUAUUAGAGCCAAUUGAGUAAACUCUUUGGAAAAAUUGAGUAAAGCUUUUGAAAGCUCUUUGUGAAAAUCCAAUCAAGUAUGCUUUGAAUAUAAUUGAGUGAUACUCAACUUAUUUGAUGAUAAUAGAUUUGUCCGUGUUGAGGAACAAGUAGCUAUAUUUUUGCAUACGAUUGGGCAUGAUGAACGUAAUCGAACUGAAAGCUUCACCUUCUUUAGAUCUGGUCACACAAUUAGUCAUUACUUCCAUGAAGUGUUGCGUGCUUGCCUUGGAUUAUAUAGAGAAGUUGUUGUUAAUGCCACCACUCUUAACUCACCUCACGAGAAGACAAAUGUGAAGCCUUGGUAUUCAUACUUUCAGGUUAGAUUUUCAAAUUCCAUUGCAUUUCUAAUUACAUUGAGUACUUGUAUUUCAUUAUCAAUAAACUAAAAAAAUGUUUUCCAAAGGAUGCUGUGGGGGCCAUAGAUGGUACACACAUUGCCGUGAAUGUUAGACUAGAGGAACAAGCUAGGUACCACAAUAGAAAACAAGUAAUUUCUCAAAAUGUUCUAGUAGCUUGCACUUUUGACAUGAAAUUUAGAUACGUGCUUGCCGGUUGGGGGGAUCGGCACAUGACGGUAGAUUGUUAAGGAACGCAAUAUUACGACAAGGACAUAAGCUAACAGUACCUGUUGGUAAGUUGUAUCCUCUAGCUACUUCACGUUUUGUGUUUUAGUUAUAAAAGAGUUAAAUAUUAACCAUGUUGUAAACUAUUCUUUCAUAGGUAAAUAUUAUCUCACUGAUGCCGGCUUUCCAAUGGUUUCGGGAUUUCUUACUCCUUACCGCAAGACUCGUUACCAUCGUAGAGACAUAGAGGGGCAACGUCCUGAAAAUAGUAAAGAGUUGUUCAACUUUCGACAUUCAUCUCUUCGUAAUGUCGUUGAGAGAACAAUUGGUUUACUUAAAAGAAGAUUCGCAUACUUGCGGCAUCAACCCUACCAUGACAUUGAAACACAAGCAAAGAUAGUCCUUGCAUGUUGUGCCAUUCACAACUUCUUACGGACCGACGACGUCGAAGAUGUUUGUGAUGAUGACUUAGACUUAAGUGACGAUGAGGUUAACACUACUCAUGUCGAUGUAGCUGAAACUGAAACAAUUAAUGCUGACAUAACUUUUGCAACUGAAGCAGCGUGGUCUAACAAUAGGAAUACAAUUGCUGAUUUAAGGUGGGCUGAGUAUCACCACAAUGAUGAUCUUGGAGUGGACUUCCUAGAUUGAGUCUUCUUGUUUUAUGCUUUCUUAACUAUUUAUAAUCAAACAUAAAUAACUAUAUAUUGUGUUGUACUUCUUACAUAUCGAUGUAGACAUAUCUAUAUAUUGUGUUGUACUUCAACAUGUAUAUUGCAUUAGUUUGUUCAUGGAUAUUUGAGCUCAAUAUUAUGUAUGGUAAAGAGAACUUGUCUCCAAUGAUGUAGUGGAUCAAAUAUUGUUUUUGUCCCUUUUUAGGCAAUCAGGUGGAAUCAUUGUUUUGAUUUGAAAUAUUGAAAUCAUGGCACAUAAUCAAUAGUCUUCUACAAACCCAUUUCUUGUGCCGAGAACUCCCAGUACUCCAAGAGUUGAGGACAUCGAUGUUAACUCUCCUACCGGGGAUGUUAAUGCGAAGCUCAAACAUGUGAGGUGGAAUGAUGCUAUGGAUGGCUUCUUAAUUACUUCCUUGGUUACCCAAGUGCUAACGGGUCACAAAAGAAGUGAUAAUGGCUUCUCAAGCCUCCAGGUGUCAAAAGCAGUUGAUGCCGUUUUUGUAGGAUCCAACGUUGUGGUGUUGGACAAAAAUGUAAGGGCUCAGCUGAAGACAUUAAAAAAAGAAUAUGCAAAAGCUCACCACUUGUUGAAUCUGAGUGGUUUUGGGCUAGAUCCCGAGACUGGACGUAUAAUGGCAGAUCCGCUUGCUUGGGAGGAGUUGACAAAGGGUAAUCCUGAGUAUGGAAGGUGGAAGACAAAGCUUUGUAGUCGAUAUGAGGAUAUGGAGAUCAUAUUUGGAAAUGACUCUGCCACUGGAGACCGCGCUGUUACCGGUUUUGACACUGUCUCCCCGGUGCCAGUUGCUAACGAAAGUGUUAAUGAGUUAGACUCCCCGACUGAGAAUGCUAAUCCAAGCUCUAGCAAUACUCGUAAGCGUAAAUCUGAUGAUGGUACGACAAAAGUUUGACGUAGACGUGCACACAAUAUGGAUGACAAUGUACUGGCUCUUUCACGCAUUGCCAACUCUUCCACGAAGAUUGCUAAUGCUAUGGAGAUGCAAGCAACGUUGGACACGCUCAAUCAUAUCAAUUGGCCAAUGGUUAUGCAAAAAUUGGAGUCUAUGGACCUGGACGUUGAUGAUGUUGUAAAAAUGAUGGAGAUGUUUCAAGCAGAAGAAGGUUUGGCAAGAGUCUUCCAUCUGAUGAAAGAUGUACGAUACAUGCGUGCGUUGGUGUUCAAGAAGCUUGGACGUAACCCGCUCCCACAUCGUCAUCCCCCACCAUCAUAGUUUAUCUUGGGUUGGUACUUGUAAUUUUUGUAUGUAAUGCUUGUGGAAAACUAGGUCCACUUAAAUUUUAUGACGGUAUGCUAAUUUGUAACUUCUGUAGCCCACUAUCUUUUGCAUAUAACGUGGGUUCACUCCUUUUGCUUAUCAGGCAUUGUAUAGUACAUGCUUGUAAUAGUUUUGUCACUAUAGUCAGUCUUGUAUUUUGGUGAAGAAAUGGGUCCGUCUAAAUGUGAAACAACUCUUUGUAUGGAGGCAUAAUCUAUGUUUUGGCUUUUCGUAAUUAAUGUAUAAGUGGUGGAGAUUGAGAAUAGGUGCUUCCAUGCAGUGGGUUCUUCAGGCAUUAGGAGGCUGGGAAGAUGAACUUGCCUAUUGUCAGAAGCUUCUUGAAGAUGACAUUUUCAACAAUUCUGCUUGGAAUCAGCUCAUUUGGACACUAAGGAGGGACCAAAGUAUGUCAAACUUGAAGGUUUUGCAUUCAAGAAGCAACUAUAUCUUUGCUCUAAACACGCUUUUGGAUCUUCUCUGUCAUGGUUUUAAACCAGGCCAAGAGUUCAAAGAUGCUGUAGAGACUUUUGAUUCCAAUGUCAGACUGAUCAGAUUCAGAUUUGGCAAAAACAGUUUGUUCUCUCUUGGAGCAUGUUGAUCCAAUGUGAUGCAAGAAAACUCUUUCUUUACAAUCAGUUUAGCAUGGUAGAACCUUUGCUAGAUGCUAUAAAGUAUUGAUAAUCAACUCAAAGUUCCGACUGUUAUCUUCUCCAUUUCCAUUUCAUUGUGACUGCUUUUGAAUUGGUUAUAUACAUGUAGUAUAGAGUACGUGGAUCUUAUGCAACCAAAUGCUUCAGAAAUCAUUUUGA
This is a long non-coding RNA of Diospyros lotus (date-plum), 6244 nucleotides long. RefSeq lists it as uncharacterized. Lineage: Eukaryota; Viridiplantae; Streptophyta; Magnoliopsida; Ericales; Ebenaceae. The record is from RefSeq and is a predicted model, not a curated record. The transcript has 4 exons.